This 471-nucleotide ribosomal RNA is filed under the name uncultured organism. RNAcentral's name for it is "partial 16S ribosomal RNA". It matches the Rfam family "Bacterial small subunit ribosomal RNA", at positions 335 to 797 of the family's 1533-position model. The record is from RNAcentral.
ACUCCUGCGGGAGGCAGCAGUGGGGAAUAUUGCACAAUGGGCGCAAGCCUGAUGCAGCCAUGCCGCGUGUAUGAAGAAGGCCUUCGGGUUGUAAAGUACUUUCAGCGGGGAGGAAGGCGAUAAGGUUAAUAACCUUGUUGAUUGACGUUACCCGCAGAAGAAGCACCGGCUAACUCCGUGCCAGCAGCCGCGGUAAUACGGAGGGUGCAAGCGUUAAUCGGAAUUACUGGGCGUAAAGCGCACGCAGGCGGUCUGUCAAGUCGGAUGUGAAAUCCCCGGGCUCAACCUGGGAACUGCAUUCGAAACUGGCAGGCUAGAGUCUUGUAGAGGGGGGUAGAAUUCCAGGUGUAGCGGUGAAAUGCGUAGAGAUCUGGAGGAAGACCGGUGGCGAAGGCGGCCCCCUGGACAAAGACUGACGCUCAGGUGCGAAAGCGUGGGGAGCAAACAGGAUUAGAAACCCGAGUAGUCCCA